Molecule: ribosomal RNA, 253 nt
Filed under: uncultured bacterium
Lineage: Bacteria
Description: partial 16S ribosomal RNA
Rfam family: Bacterial small subunit ribosomal RNA
Source: RNAcentral
UACGUAGGUGGCAAGCGUUGUCCGGAUUUACUGGGCGUAAAGAGCGCGCAGGCGGUCGUUCAAGUCGCGUGUGAAAGCCCCCGGCUCAACUGGGGAGGGUCACGCGAUACUGAUCGACUCGAAGGCAGGAGAGGGAAGUGGAAUUCCCGGUGUAGUGGUGAAAUGCGUAGAUAUCGGGAGGAACACCGGUGGCGAAGGCGGAUCUCUGGGCCUUGCCUGACGCUGAGGCGCGAAAGCUAGGGGAGCGAACAGG